GGCUCUCGUUGGAGUGAAUGUUGCUUUGGGUUCCUUGAUUUCCUUGGAAGGAUGUAGUCUUGGAUAAUGGGGUCUUCUAAACCAGGAUCCAUUGCAGAAAAGCUCCCCUCCGAGGCUCAUCAGAGAACAUUCACUGCUCUCCUUUGUCAGCAAGGGGGGCGCACUGCAGUGCACAAGUAAGUGCAUGAAUAAAGGACACAGAGAGGGUGACCAGCACCAGGAAGGGGGCCUUCCAGGGAGGACCUGGAGAAGGAUGGAGACGUCUUUCAGAUCUCUUGGCAGGAUGAACCCAAGGGAAGAAACAGCCAUAGGCUGUGAUCUGCAGAAUGUGGAGUCAGCCACAGGAAAAUAUUGGGGUGUGAGGAAAACGAGGACCAAAGCCCUGAAGAAGGAGAGGCAAAGGCGGCAGUGGCUCUGAGUUUGUGUCCCAGGUCUCAGCUCCCCAGGUCGCGAGCUGUCGGGCAGCCGGGGUUUGAGAUUAACCAUCAGCUCUGGGAAGCAAUUACAUUUCGCUCAGGCGAGAUCCGCUCCUCGUCCCAUUCUCCCUCCCUGCAGGCUAUGUCAAAACACGAGGGCAGGAUCCUGCUUCUUCUCACGUUUCAAAAACACACAGCGGACUUGUGUUUACCGAGCGCGCGGGGCGCUGGCAGGCGGAGCCGCAGAGCUGGGGCCGCGCUGUCCUCCGCCGUCCUCGGUCCGGGCCACCACGCCCUCUUCAGGCGCCGCUAGCCUAGCUGGGUCUGCCUGGGUGUCUCAGAGCUUCGCACUGCAACAGUGUCACACGUUGUGCAAACAAACACCACCAGCCGCGAUCUGACCCUGGAUCAGAGGGCCCGACUGUCUGGGUCUCAGCCUGGGAUUCUCUUGGUGGGGAGGACAGUUGAAGCCUCUGAACUUCUAGACCGUUCUUUUUUUUCUUUUGUAGCUCUCUUUAACUUCAAUUUCCCCUUCUGAAAAAUGACCGAAGAUAGAUCGCUUUGAGCUCAUCCUCAGGUCUUCAUACUUGUUUGCGUUGCACUUUGCAAAGUCCUUUGGAAAUGGAUCCUUUUCCACAAAACCCUAAGCACGAAAGAGAUGAAGGCCUGUCUGGUGAAGGCAGGAAGAAGGAACCUGGUUCUCCCUCUCUUCUGCUCCGGGGCUCUGUAGAUGUACGUCUGUCCCUAGUGUCCUCAGAACGUGACUGGAUACAACCUGGUCACAUCACUGCUGCUGUCCUUUGUGCCUCAAACAUUCAGUGAUCCCAUAAAUGUACAAUACAUACAGAGUUAUAACUGUGUUUGCAAAAAUGUAUGUAUGCAUGGAGAGAGAGAGAGAGAGAGAGAGAAAGAGAGAGAGUUUGUAGAUUAUAACUAUGUAUUUUGCUCAAAACAUUUCAACCUCUUAUUUCUUCAAUACACAUUCAUUCUUAAAUAUGAGAUGACUAGAAGUUAAAAAUCACCUGCAACCCUGUUCUGUUGAAUUGAAAUUAUAUGGAAAGGUGAUCUCGCGCCUCCCAGUGCUUUCCAGUUUGGAUAAGCACGGCUCAGAAGACAUGCAGGGACGACACUUGGCCUUUCUGGUUAGGAGCUGAGCCCAGCUUCUCUUGUCUUAUCCUUUAGCAGCAGACAAAUCACUUCUGUGUACUUCGACC
Molecule: long non-coding RNA, 1630 nt
Filed under: Fukomys damarensis (Damara mole-rat)
Lineage: Eukaryota; Metazoa; Chordata; Mammalia; Rodentia; Bathyergidae
Description: lncRNA (ENSFDAG00000026704.1)
Source: RNAcentral